Molecule: RNA transcript, 485 nt
Organism: Arabidopsis thaliana (thale cress)
Lineage: Eukaryota; Viridiplantae; Streptophyta; Magnoliopsida; Brassicales; Brassicaceae
Exons: 1
Source: RefSeq
CAAAGAUCAUCAAUUGCUUGAUUCUCUUGCAAGGAAAUAUAAAUCCUCAUACCUUCUUAUUGGGACCGUAUUUUGGUUAUGGAUGCAUGUUCUCCUUUUGGCUGGGAAUCGUGAUGAGUGGAAUUCAGUGACUAGUGUAGAACUUAUCAGAAGAGCGUGUUUUACUACUGAUUUGAUCUCUUACUUUGCCGCGUCUUCCAGUGAUACAAGAAUAUGAUGACUCAUGGAUCUCUGUUCUACGCCCUCGAAAAAUUUAGCUAAAAGUGGUGGUAUGAUGAAACGGAAUAAGCAGCUAGAAUUGGUGGUAAUUUUCAUCGGAAAAAUUGGAUUCAGCCGAUGUUUCAGCUCUGGUGGAUGAGUCAUUUCGUGUCUUUCCACCUCCAACUUGCAAAACAACACGUGUUCUUACGAGGUCAGCUAGUUUUUGCUCCGUAAUGCUUUAUUUUGGAUCUAUGUUGGACUUUGUUUUUUUUGUUUUUUUUUGU